Molecule: long non-coding RNA, 456 nt
Filed under: Mus pahari (shrew mouse)
Lineage: Eukaryota; Metazoa; Chordata; Mammalia; Rodentia; Muridae
Description: lncRNA (MGP_PahariEiJ_G0003637.1)
Source: RNAcentral
GCUGGUAUUUUGCUUUCUCUUUCCGGCCUCCACCCCCCCCCCCCACUCUCUCUCUCGGACCCGCGGGACCACAAUGCUCCGCGCCUCUUGUCAUUGGGAGGCGCAGUAAAGUGGGGGUCACUGGAAAAGAAAAGAACAGAAUUCUAUGGAUAACAGGAAAAGCCCCAGAGUUGGUGCUGUGUUCCCAACCCUAGUCCAGCACAAACCUACGAGCCAAGGCAGCCAGUAUUUGGCCAUUCGUCCAUCCAUCUGCAUAUCCCAGGGAUGCACGAACAGAGAACAGUUCAGCCUCUCAGCCGCCUUCAAUAGAGCAAUGAGAAAGAAGUUAUUUGGGGGAGACUGCUUUUCUCCAUCUGAUUCUAUAUUGACCCGAAUAAAUAAGUUUAAAUACUUCUAAAGUUCCUUUUUGAUCUGUAUAAUUUAUUCCUGUUUGAAAAAAUAAAAAAGAUUAUCCAU